Molecule: ribosomal RNA, 203 nt
Filed under: Enterobacter hormaechei
Lineage: Bacteria; Pseudomonadati; Pseudomonadota; Gammaproteobacteria; Enterobacterales; Enterobacteriaceae
Description: partial 23S ribosomal RNA
Rfam family: Bacterial large subunit ribosomal RNA
Source: RNAcentral
UAGCUAAAUGCGGAAGAGAUAAGUGCUGAAAGCAUCUAAGCACGAAACUUGCCCCGAGAUGAGUUCUCCCUGAGACCUUGAGUCUCCUGAAGGAACGUUGAAGACGACGACGUUGAUAGGUCGGGUGUGUAAGCGCAGCGAUGCGUUGAGCUAACCGAUACUAAUGAACCGUGAGGCUUAACCUUACAACGCCGAAGGUGUUU